UACAGAGGGUGCGAGCGUUAAUCGGAAUUACUGGGCGUAAAGCGUGCGUAGACGGCUAUCUAAGUCGGGUGUGAAAGCCCCGGGCUCAACCUGGGAAUUGCAUUCGAGACUGAAUAGCUAGGGUACGGUAGAGGGAAGCGGAAUUUCCGGUGUAGCGGUGAAAUGCGUAGAUAUCGGAAGGAACAUCAGUGGCGAAGGCGGCGCUCUGGGCUGGAACUGACGCUGAGGAGCGAAAGCGUGGGGAGCGAACAGG
Molecule: ribosomal RNA, 253 nt
Filed under: uncultured bacterium
Lineage: Bacteria
Description: partial 16S ribosomal RNA
Rfam family: Bacterial small subunit ribosomal RNA
Source: RNAcentral